CAGCCGCCACGGUAAUACGAAGGGUGCAAGCGUUAAUCGGAAUUACUGGGCGUAAAGCGCACGUAGGCGGACACUUAAGUCAGAGGUGAAAUCCCAAGGCUCAACCUUGGAACUGCCUUUGAUACUGGGUGUCUUGAGUUCGGGAGAGGUGAGUGGAACUGCGAGUGUAGAGGUGAAAUUCGUAGAUAUUCGCAAGAACACCAGUGGCGAAGGCGGCUCACUGGCCCGAUACUGACGCUGAGGUGCGAAAGCGUGGGGAGCAAACAGGAUUAGAGACCCGUGUAGUCCCUGUCUCUUAUAC
This 301-nucleotide ribosomal RNA is filed under the name uncultured bacterium. Its description in RNAcentral is "partial 16S ribosomal RNA". It matches the Rfam family "Bacterial small subunit ribosomal RNA", at positions 509 to 807 of the family's 1533-position model. The record is from RNAcentral.